RNAcentral lists this long non-coding RNA (668 nucleotides) under Nicotiana benthamiana. RNAcentral describes it as "long non-coding RNA (NBEN_LNC030163)". The record is from RNAcentral. Lineage: Eukaryota; Viridiplantae; Streptophyta; Magnoliopsida; Solanales; Solanaceae.
CUACGUAUCUCACAUCCGAUGAGAAUCAAACCUGUGUAGUUCGGGCCAAUUAACCGAACUAUUUUAAAACAUGACUUUUUUUUUAUUUUAUUUUUGGCAUUUCAUAUUCCCAAUUUUCAGAGGCCGGUCAGCAUGCAAGUCUAAGGAAAAUAAAUGCGUAAAACAAGUAAAAUGCAUCAUGAUGGUCUUUUUCAUUUCAGGUUGCUAGUCCUAGACGGGCUCAACCCUUGUGUUGAGUCCCCUAAGUCAAAUGCAAUAUGAUGCAAAUAAGUGACCUACUAGGGAUCCAACAUAAAGUCACGUUAUUCUAGGUUCAAAACCUAUGUAUGUAUUCUAGAUUGUGUACACGAGCGGACAACUCGAGUCGAAGAGGGGGCAACUUACCGGGAACCAAAAGGCCAUCUGGCUUAGUAACUUGUCCGGCCUCUUUCUUAUUUCAGGGUAUGACACUAACAGAAUAGGGAGUCUCAACCAGUAAGCUCAUCCGCAGAGGUGAGAAGAGAAGGGUUUCGGCAUAGUUUAUAUACAGUUCAGAUAAUAUCAUAUCGGUAAAACAUUUAGUACAUUUAGCAUGAAGCAUGUAGGAAAAUCAGGUAAACCAAACACAACAAUUAUUCUAAGCUCGAAUUCUUAAACCCGGAACCGAAGUUCUGGGUUUGUGUCCCCAG